This 253-nucleotide ribosomal RNA is filed under the name uncultured bacterium. Its description in RNAcentral is "partial 16S ribosomal RNA". It matches the Rfam family "Bacterial small subunit ribosomal RNA", at positions 524 to 776 of the family's 1533-position model. The record is from RNAcentral.
UACGUAGGCAGCGAGCGUUGUUCGGAGUUACUGGGCGUAAAGAGUGCGUAGGCGGUUUUCUAAGUUUGGUGUGAAAUCUCCCGGCUUAACUGUGAGGGUGCCAUUGAUACUGAUGGACUUGAGUGAAGUCGAAGUAGGCGGAAUUGACGGUGUAGCGGUGAAAUGCUUAGAUAUCGUCAAGAACACCGAUAGUGAAGACAGCUUACUAGGCUUAUACUGACGCUGAGGCACGAAAGUGUGGGGAUCAAACAGG